CUUCACAAAGUCUACGAUGACGCAAGAUUUUGAGUUUUGAAGAGAUGGAUACAUCUGUGAUCC
This 63-nucleotide transfer RNA is filed under the name Calisoga longitarsis. RNAcentral describes it as "tRNA-Gln". Lineage: Eukaryota; Metazoa; Arthropoda; Arachnida; Araneae; Nemesiidae. The record is from RNAcentral.